GAUUACAGCGCCAAAAGUCUCCCUCCACGUCGUGCUUGCACGUAAGUGGAGGCGAGACUUUAUGGCGCGCCCCCACAUGAGCAAGAAGUGGUGCGAAGCGCCACGGGAUUGCGAAUGUGGGGGAGGAUUGUGGG
This 134-nucleotide small RNA is filed under the name bovine gut metagenome. RNAcentral's name for it is "Clostridiales-1 RNA". It matches the Rfam family "Clostridiales-1 RNA", at positions 2 to 135 of the family's 166-position model. The record is from RNAcentral.